RNAcentral lists this ribosomal RNA (393 nucleotides) under uncultured bacterium. RNAcentral's name for it is "partial 16S ribosomal RNA". It matches the Rfam family "Bacterial small subunit ribosomal RNA", at positions 523 to 918 of the family's 1533-position model. The record is from RNAcentral.
AUACGGAGGAUCCGCGCGUUAUCCGGAUUUAUUGGGUUUAAAGGGUGCGUAGGCGGCCUUUUAAGUCAGCGGUGAAAGUCUGUGGCUCAACCAUAGAAUUGCCGUUGAAACUGGGGGGCUUGAGUAUGUUUGAGGCAGGGGGAAUGUGUGGUGUAGCGGCGAAAUGCAUCGAUAGCACGCAGAACCCCUAUUGCGAAGGCAGCCUGCCAAGCCAUGACUGACGCUGAUGCACGAAAGCGUGGGGAUCAAAUAGGAUUAGAUACCCUGGUAGUCCACGCAGUAAACGAUGAUCACUAGCUGUUUGCGAUACACUGUAAGCGGCACAGCGAAAGCGUUAAGUGAUCCACCUGGGGAGUACGCCGGCAACGGUGAAACUCAAAGGAAUUGACGGGG